RNAcentral lists this ribosomal RNA (285 nucleotides) under Clostridioides difficile. Its description in RNAcentral is "partial 16S ribosomal RNA". It matches the Rfam family "Bacterial small subunit ribosomal RNA", at positions 827 to 1107 of the family's 1533-position model. Lineage: Bacteria; Bacillati; Bacillota; Clostridia; Peptostreptococcales; Peptostreptococcaceae. The record is from RNAcentral.
CGGGGAUUACCCCUGUGGGGGCCGCAGAGAACGCAUUAAGGCGUCAGACGGGGAAGUACGCUCGAAAGAGUGAAACUCAAAGGAAUUGACGGGGACCCGCACAAGUAGCGGAGCAUGUGGUUUAAUUCGAAGCAACGCGAAGAACCUUACCUAAGCUGGACAUCCCAAUGACAUCUCCUUAAUCGGAGAGUUCCCUUCGGGGACAUUGGUGACAGGUGGUGCAUGGUUGUCGUCAGCUCGUGUCGUGAGAUGUUGGGUUAAGUCCCGCAACGAGCGCAACCCUUG